UACGGGAGGCAGCAGUGGGGAAUCUUCCGCAAUGGGCGCAAGCCUGACGGAGCAACGCCGCGUGAGUGAAGAAGGCUUUCGGGUUGUAAAACUCUGUCUUCAGGGAAGAAAAAAAUGACGGUACCUGAGGAGGAAGCCCCGGCUAACUACGUGCCAGCAGCCGCGGUAAAACGUAGGGGGCGAGCGUUGUCCGGAAUUACUGGGCGUAAAGGGCGCGUAGGCGGUUUCUUAAGUCAGAGGUGAAAACUACCGGCUUAACCGGUAGCGUGCCUAUGAAACUGGGAGACUUGAGGGCAGGAGAGGGGAGUGGAAUUCCCAGUGUAGCGGUGAAAUGCGUAGAUAUUGGGAGGAACACCAGUGGCGAAGGCGGCUCUCUGGCCUGUUUCUGACGCUGAGGCGCGAAAGCGUGGGGAGCAAACGGGAUUAGAUACCCCGGUAGUCCACGCCGUAAACGAUGGGUGCUAGGUGUAGGAGGUAUCGACCCCUUCUGUGCCGUAGUUAACACAAUAAGCACCCCGCCUGGGGAGUACGGCCGCAAGGUUGAAACUCAAAGGAAUUGACGG
This 563-nucleotide ribosomal RNA is filed under the name uncultured bacterium. Its description in RNAcentral is "bacterial SSU rRNA". It matches the Rfam family "Bacterial small subunit ribosomal RNA", at positions 340 to 916 of the family's 1533-position model. The record is from RNAcentral.